Molecule: ribosomal RNA, 575 nt
Filed under: Geomyces sp. 07MA04
Lineage: Eukaryota; Fungi; Ascomycota; Leotiomycetes; Thelebolales; Pseudeurotiaceae
Description: eukaryotic LSU rRNA
Rfam family: 5.8S ribosomal RNA (bases 228-381)
Source: RNAcentral
GGAAGUAAAAGUCGUAACAAGGUUUCCGUAGGUGAACCUGCGGAAGGAUCAUUACAGUAGUCGCCCGGGUUGCCGCAAGGCCUCCCGGGUAACCUACCACCCUUUGUUUAUUACACUUUGUUGCUUUGGCAGGCCUGCCCUCGGGCUGCUGGCUCCGGCCGGCGAGCGUCUGCCAGAGGACCUAAACUCUGUUUGUCUAUACUGUCUGAGUACUAUAUAAUAGUUAAAACUUUCAACAACGGAUCUCUUGGUUCUGGCAUCGAUGAAGAACGCAGCGAAAUGCGAUAAGUAAUGUGAAUUGCAGAAUUCAGUGAAUCAUCGAAUCUUUGAACGCACAUUGCGCCCCCUGGUAUUCCGGGGGGCAUGCCUGUCCGAGCGUCAUUACAACCCUCAAGCUCAGCUUGGUGUUGGGCCCCGCCGCCCCGGCGGGCCCUAAAGUCAGUGGCGGUGCCGUCCGGCUCCGAGCGUAGUAAUUCUUCUCGCUCUGGAGGCCCGGUCGUGUGCUCGCCAGCAACCCCCAAUUUUUUUCAGGUUGACCUCGGAUCAGGUAGGGAUACCCGCUGAACUUAAGCAUA